Molecule: long non-coding RNA, 2015 nt
Organism: Macaca mulatta (Rhesus monkey)
Lineage: Eukaryota; Metazoa; Chordata; Mammalia; Primates; Cercopithecidae
Source: Ensembl
GGUUUGAAAGAAAAAAAGCAGAAAAGAAAAAUAAAAAAACAAUUUUAAUUCUACUUAACAUGCAUAUAUCGUGUAAGCAAAUAGUAUUUCAAAAUAGCUAUAUAUAAAUGUAAGUUUGUGCCCCCAAAUGUUGAUCCAUCUCUCCUUAGCUCUUAAUUUAUUUGUAGAGAAAUAAAAUUGCUAAAAAAUUGCUGCUGCCAAUACCAGUUCUCUGUUGGCAAAUUUGAUGUUAUACUUUAAAAAUAAGUGAAGAAGCAGCCAGUUGCACUGGCAAUAAAGCACUCAAGCAUUAACCACUGGACAUUGGACCUUUUUCUGUCCCUCCAACGCUUUGACCACACACAAAUCUCUGAAUAAAACUCUUCUCUUGGCACAAAUUUUUGGGUAAACUUCAUCACAUUAAAAGGCAGGAAAAGGGUUUUUUAGACCUACCUCUGCUACUGCAACUUGCGCAAUCUUAGAUAAGCUCAACCAUUUUUGAACUCUAUUUUAAUGGUUAACAAGAUGGCUUGGUCUAAAUGACAUCCUGGUUCUCUGUGGUUUUACCAUUCUGAGCUCGUUUUCCUGGCCUGUUUGCAUGCAGCUCUCCCUCAUUGUGGCUGAUUUAUGAGCCACAUUUACCUUUUCUUCAUUUCCCUUGAUUUCCAGGGUAUUUGUAAAUCUAGAGGAAUGAGCCGGAGGGAAGGAACUGGAGAGGAGAGGAGGGAGAAGAGAUGCCGCUGAGAGUAAAGUUACACACCUUUCACCACAACACUUAGGAGAAAACAAUUUCGCUAGUUUCCAUUAAGUUUGAACUCUCAGGCAGGAAAGUAUCUUCAGGUGAGAGUAUUUAAAGAGCAACUGCGUGUUCCUCCUCCACUCUUAGAAGAUUUCUUCAGGCUAACCAUGCAGAGCUCAAAACGUGUUGAAAGCUGCAACCAACAAAGUCUGAAAUUGGCUGACCAUGGAACAUCUAACCCGAAAACAUGCAUAUCCCUUUCAGAGGGCAAAAGUAAGUACAGGGUCUUAUAUUGUCUGGACUGCUCACUAAAUCAAUUUUAACUUUGAUUAGUAGAAUGGGAUAUCAUAGCAAAGAAUCACGGUAACAUACAGCGUGUAAAUGUUAGUGUUUAAUUAGCAAUGAAAUUACUAUUUCAAAAGCUUCUAAAGGUGGAAGUAUUGUCAUUUUAACAGACAAUAUACUGAUUUUCCACUAAUAUAUUUUGGUAUUUUUACUUCCUUUAUUAUUUUAAGAAAACUGGUAUGUUAUGUUGUGUGAUUACUUUUAAAAAUUCAAACAAUAAUUUUACUCAAUUUGAAAUUUAUUUUCCUAAAUGCAAUUUGCAUAUCAAAGUGAUCUCCAGGGAUAAAACAAUUCAUAAAUUAAAGUUUUGUACUAACACCUAAUAAGGAAAAUUGUUUCUUCUAGCCUAACACUAAACUUACUUAUUCUUAAAACUCACCACUACAUAUUUAUUUCAUAUACAAUUGGGUCUCCAUGUCCAUGGGUUCCCCAUUAAUGGAUUCAAUCAACCACUGAUUGAAAAUACAUACGGAAAAAAAUGAAUGGUUGCAUCUGUAGUAAACAUGUGCAGACUUUUUCUUGUCAUUAUUUCCUAAAAGUGUAGCAAAAAAACUAUUAACAUAGAAUGUACAUUGUAUUAGGUAUUAUAAGUAAUCUAGAUGUGAUUUAAACUAUAUAGGAUAAUCUACAUAAGUUAUAUGCAAAUACUACAACGGUUCAUAUAAGGAACUUGAACAUUGGUGGGUUUUGGUAUCCAUGGGAGUCCUGGAAGCAAUUCCCCAAGAAACUGAGGAAAGACUAUAUAUUGAUAGAUUUAAGUUUAAAUGAGUGGAAGCAUACUUAGUUAUACUUACAUAUUAAUUUUAUGAAUAUUAUAAAUCAGAGCUGAAUUUUAAUGACUGAUUGAUUUCCUUUUUCAAUCAUCUUCUCAAAAUAAAUACCUCAAAAUCCAUUUGCAUUGUAUAUCACAAUUUCUUCUUUAUCCUAUCCUAAGACUAAAUCAUUAAUGCAG